ACCAAAUAGAUACCCAGGUAGUCCACGCCGUAAACGAUGAAUACUAGGUGUAGGGGUUGUCAUGACCUCUGUGCCGCCGCUAAACGCAUUAAGUAUUCCGCCUGGGGAGUACGGUCGCAAGAUUAAAACUCAAAGGAAUUGACGGGGGCCCGGCACAAGCAGCGGAGCAUGUGGUUUAAUUUACGAAGCAACGCGAAGAACCUUACCUAGACUUGUACAUCUCCUGCAUUACUCUUAAUCGAGGAAGUCUCUUCGGUAGACAGGAUGACAGGUGGUGCAUGGUUGUCGUCAGCUCGUGUCGUGAGAUGUUGGGUUAAGUCCCGCAACGAGCGCAACCCUUAUUGUUAGUUGCCAUCAUUAAGUUGGGCACUCUAGCGAGACUGCCCGGGGUUAACCCGGGGUAGGAAGGUGGGGUAUGACGUCAAAUCAUCAUGCCCCGUUAUGUCUAGGGCUACACACGGUGCUACAAUGGUCGGUACAAUAAGACGCAAGCCCGCGAGGGGUAGCAAAACCUGGAAAACCGAUCUCAGUUCGGAUUGUAGGCUGAAACUCGCC
Molecule: ribosomal RNA, 555 nt
Filed under: uncultured bacterium
Lineage: Bacteria
Description: bacterial SSU rRNA
Rfam family: Bacterial small subunit ribosomal RNA
Source: RNAcentral